Molecule: ribosomal RNA, 494 nt
Filed under: uncultured bacterium
Lineage: Bacteria
Description: bacterial SSU rRNA
Rfam family: Bacterial small subunit ribosomal RNA
Source: RNAcentral
UGGUCUGAGAGGACGACCAUUCACAGUGGAACUGAGACACUGUCCAGACUCCUACGGGAGGCAGCAUUGGGGAAUUUUGGACAAUGGGCGCAAGCCUGAUCCAGCAAUGCCGCGUGCAGGAUGAAGGCCUUCGGGUUGUAAACUGCUUUUGUACGGAACGAAACGGUCUGCUCUAAUACAGCGGGCUAAUGACGGUACCGUAAGAAUAAGCACCGGCUAACUACGUGCCAGCAGCCGCGGUAAUACGUAGGGUGCGAGCGUUAAUCGGAAUUACUGGGCGUAAAGCGUGCGCAGGCGGUUAUAUAAGACAGAUGUGAAAUCCCCGGGCUCAACCUGGGACCUGCAUUUGUGACUGUAUAGCUAGAGUGCGGCAGAGGGGGAUGGAAUUCCGCGUGUAGCAGUGAAAUGCGUAGAUAUGCGGAGGAACACCGAUGGCGAAGGCAAUCCCCUGGGCCUGCACUGACGCUCAUGCACGAAAGCGUGGGGAGCAAACA